GGCGGUGUAGCUCAGCGGAAGAGCAAAGGUCUCAUAAACCUUGGGUCGGAAGUUCGAAUCUUCCCACCGCAACCA
This 75-nucleotide transfer RNA is filed under the name Blastocatellia bacterium. RNAcentral describes it as "tRNA-Ile". It matches the Rfam family "tRNA". From Rfam's summary of the family: Transfer RNA (tRNA) molecules are approximately 80 nucleotides in length. Lineage: Bacteria; Pseudomonadati; Acidobacteriota; Blastocatellia. The record is from RNAcentral.